Pelobates cultripes (western spadefoot toad) is the source of this 227-nucleotide non-coding RNA. Lineage: Eukaryota; Metazoa; Chordata; Amphibia; Anura; Pelobatidae. The record is from the annotation of a GenBank genome assembly.
AUUGAACCAAAAUAAACAGUGAAUUAGGAAGAGAAGUCUGUGGAUUAGUAAGGGGUAGCAUAAUAUCAUCUGCAAACACUCCCAACUUGCAGAACCGUGUUAGAGACAAUGUGUAACCUUUAUUAUCCAGAUUCUCAUGCACAGUUAUUGCCAAUGGUUCCAAAGACAAAUCAUAGAUUAAAGUCGGCUCCCUUGACGGGAUUCAUUGGCAAUCUCGAAUCUGUUAG